Long non-coding RNA from Bubalus bubalis (water buffalo), 408 nucleotides. RefSeq lists it as uncharacterized. The transcript is spliced from 2 exons. Lineage: Eukaryota; Metazoa; Chordata; Mammalia; Artiodactyla; Bovidae. The record is from RefSeq and is a predicted model, not a curated record.
AGUAACCAUGGAAACCACAUGGCUAAGAUGGCAGCAUCCUAAGUUGAAGGAUUUGGGCUCUGGAGUCACCGCAUGAAGAGCUGCUCACGAAGCCACUGGCUCAUCUCAUGCUAUGGGGCUGCCUGUCAUCGCAUGAUGGUAUUGGAGCGUAUGUCUCGCUGGUGCAUGACUCACCAGCUGAAUUGCCCGCCACCGGAUGUCACAAUGAUGCUGCUAUUCAGAACAUGAAGGAUGCACCGCAGGGCUCAGAAAAGAUUUUUUUUUAUAUAAAAAGCCAUAUUUGUAGUCCAAGCCCCUCCAGGAGGAGAUGCCAUGCUCUGUGUUUAGCCUGCGAGGCACUGGAAACAAAAACCACGUUAUGCCUAAUAUCCCUGAAGCCAAAUUACAAUAUUUACCCCUGCAUGGCAA